GCGCGAUGAUUUUCGGUGAUUGUCCGGCGGAGUACAACCCGAAGAUCCACGGACCUUACGAUCCUGUCCGUUACUACGGCAAG
Molecule: long non-coding RNA, 83 nt
Filed under: Aedes aegypti (yellow fever mosquito)
Lineage: Eukaryota; Metazoa; Arthropoda; Insecta; Diptera; Culicidae
Description: lncRNA AAEL028885
Rfam family: Sphinx_ conserved region 1
Source: RNAcentral